AGCUCUUGCUCCUUCGCCUGCUUGCUGUGUGAGACUGAGUAACUGCUAGAUCCUUGGACUUCCAUUCACAGCUGCGACUGAACCAUUAUUGGGAAUUGGGCUGUCGACUGUGAUUCAGUGCACAAAGCUUUCUACAAGAUGGGGAAAAAUCAGAAAAUGAUUUUACUGGCUGGCUGCUCUUAGUAUCUGGGGAGAAAAUGAAGAAUGAAAGGAAGGAGUUGUGUGAUAAAAUCGAAAGGCUCCAGACACAAGUAAACCAUCUAAAAGUUGCUAAGUGUGUCCUUGAAGAGAAUCUUCUCUCUUGCAGCAAUAGAGCUCAAGUUGCAGAAAAUCAAACUGAAUUGGUCAGUCUAAAUUCUUU
This is a long non-coding RNA of Mus musculus (house mouse), 361 nucleotides long. RefSeq annotates it as predicted gene, 53926. Lineage: Eukaryota; Metazoa; Chordata; Mammalia; Rodentia; Muridae. The record is from RefSeq and is a predicted model, not a curated record. The transcript has 2 exons.